ACAUCCAGAGAACUUAGCAGAGAUGCUUUGGUGCCUUCGGGAACUCUGAGACAGGUGCUGCAUGGCUGUCGUCAGCUCGUGUUGUGAAAUGUUGGGUUAAGUCCCGNAACGAGUGCAACCCUUAUCCUUUGUUGCCAGCGGUUCGGCCGGGAACUCAAAGGAGACUGCCGGUGAUAAACCGGAGGAAGGUGGGGAUGACGUCAAGUCAUCAUGGCCCUUACGGCCAGGGCUACACACGUGCUACAAUGGCGCAUACAAAGAGAAGCGACCUCGCGAGAGCAAGCGGACCUCAUAAAGUGCGUCGUAGUCCGGAUUGGAGUCUGCAACUCGACUCCAUGAAGUCGGAAUCGCUAGUAAUCGUAGAUCAGAAUGCUACGGUGAAUACGUUCCCGGGCCUUGUACACACCGCCCGUCACACCAUGGGAGUGGGUUGCAAAAGAAGUAGGUAGCUUAACCUUCGGGAGGGCGCUUACCACUUUGUGAUUCAUGACUGGGGUGAAGUCGUAACAAGGUAGGCGUAGCGAG
Molecule: ribosomal RNA, 525 nt
Filed under: uncultured bacterium
Lineage: Bacteria
Description: bacterial SSU rRNA
Rfam family: Bacterial small subunit ribosomal RNA
Source: RNAcentral